This is a long non-coding RNA of Drosophila novamexicana, 436 nucleotides long. RefSeq lists it as uncharacterized. The record is from RefSeq and is a predicted model, not a curated record. The transcript is spliced from 3 exons. NCBI's taxonomy places the organism in Eukaryota, Metazoa, Arthropoda, Insecta, Diptera, Drosophilidae.
UUUUGCAUAAAGGAACUUUUGUUUGCAAAUUUUUAUUUUUGAUUUGUGUGCAGUUUUUGUCAGCACAUUAUUUAGAGCUCUCAGAAUUUUAGCCUGCUGUAGAAUUAUUUGCAACGCACAUAAAAUGAAAUCCACCCAAAUAUUCAACGUGCAUGGAACGCAAAGGGAUAAUAUUUCAGCUGAAGGCAAGCUGUCCUUUGAAAAUUGUUCAAUUAUAUAUAAGCAUGCAUAUGUAUCAGGAAGACACAGCAAAUGUGCCACAAAAUUGCGCCAAUGAUGAAAGCCAAAGUUCUUCUUACGACGCCCCAUAAAAAUGAUGGCAAUGCCCUCAGAUGCCCCUAAUUGAGUGGGAAAAAGGAAUUUUUCCAUUUGUCUGCAUAGCGUCUGGAAAUGUACGUUUAAAAAUUUAUACUCGUAACUGCGACAAGUUCUUAGG